GGAUUUUUAAGUGAGGUGUGAAAGCCCCGGGCUUAACCUGGGAAUAGCAUUUCAGACUGGGAAUCUAGAGUACUUUAGGGAGGGGUAGAAUUCCACGUGUAGCGGUGAAAUGCGUAGAGAUGUGGAGGAAUACCGAAGGCGAAGGCAGCCCCUUGGGAAUGUACUGACGCUCAUGUGCGAAAGCGUGGGGAGCAAACAGGAUUAGAUACCCUGGUAGUCCACGCUGUAAACGCUGUCGAUUUGGGGGUUGGGCUUUAAGCUUGGCGCCCGUAGCUAACGUGAUAAAUCGACCGCCUGGGGAGUACGGCCGCAAGGUUAAAACUCAAAUGAAUUGACGGGGGCCCGCACAAGCGGUGGAGCAUGUGGUUUAAUUCGAUGCAACGCGAAGAACCUUACCUACUCUUGACAUCCAGAGAANAGANUAGAGAUACUNUNGUGCCUUUGGGAACUYAGAGACAGGUGCUGCAUGGCUGUCGUCAGCUCGUGUUGUGAAAUGUUGGGUUAAGUCCCGCAACGAGCG
RNAcentral lists this ribosomal RNA (520 nucleotides) under Rodentibacter pneumotropicus. RNAcentral's name for it is "bacterial SSU rRNA". It matches the Rfam family "Bacterial small subunit ribosomal RNA", at positions 577 to 1098 of the family's 1533-position model. Lineage: Bacteria; Pseudomonadati; Pseudomonadota; Gammaproteobacteria; Pasteurellales; Pasteurellaceae. The record is from RNAcentral.